CCUACGGGAGGCAGCAGUAGGGAAUCUUCCGCAAUGGACGAAAGUCUGACGGAGCAACGCCGCGUGAACGAUGAAGGCCUUCGGGUCGUAAAGUUCUGUUGUUAGGGAAGAACAAGUGCUAGUUGAAUAAGCUGGCACCUUGACGGUACCUAACCAGAAAGCCACGGCUAACUACGUGCCAGCAGCCGCGGUAAUACGUAGGUGGCAAGCGUUGUCCGGAAUUAUUGGGCGUAAAGCGCGCGCAGGCGGUUUCUUAAGUCUGAUGUGAAAGCCCCCGGCUCAACCGGGGAGGGUCAUUGGAAACUGGGAAACUUGAGUGCAGAAGAGGAAAGUGGAAUUCCAAGUGUAGCGGUGAAAUGCGUAGAGAUUUGGAGGAACACCAGUGGCGAAGGCGACUUUCUGGUCUGUAACUGACGCUGAGGCGCGAAAGCGUGGGGAGCAAACAGGAUUAGAUACCCUGGUAGUCCACGCUGUAAACGAUGAGUGCUAAGUGUUAGAGGGUUUCCGCCCUUUAGUGCUGAAGUUAACGCAUUAAGCACUCCGCCUGGGGAGUACGGUCGCAAGACUGAAACUCAAAGGAAUUGAGG
Molecule: ribosomal RNA, 587 nt
Filed under: uncultured bacterium
Lineage: Bacteria
Description: bacterial SSU rRNA
Rfam family: Bacterial small subunit ribosomal RNA
Source: RNAcentral